GGAGGACCUCCUGGCGGCCACCGUCGCCAAUUGCAGCCAAUGCAGCGCGGUCACGUCUGCAGCGACUCGGCGUCGUUUUGGUACGUGGACGCGUCGUGCAGUUCCCGGCUGAGCAAAAUGGGGUUGGCUCUCGGGCUCCCCCUGGCGGUCAUCGGCGUCGGUGCAGCGGGCUGCGGGGUGGCGCUGCUGCGGACCCGGAGGCAGCGCAGGGCGGACAGGGAGAAGCUGCGCUCGCACUCAGCGCUGUACAGCGGCAAUGAGGAGGAGGAGACGUGGGGGGGCAGCGCCGGAUUCGCAGCCACCACAGAGCGGCGUCGUGGGAAG
Molecule: long non-coding RNA, 324 nt
Filed under: Gallus gallus (chicken)
Lineage: Eukaryota; Metazoa; Chordata; Aves; Galliformes; Phasianidae
Source: RNAcentral